GAGAGGCGCCAAUAUCAUAUUGUACAUUGAACGGUAGCUAUCGGAUGUAUUUGAUAAUCCUAGCAACCGUCUUUGUGCAAAACGAUGUGGCACACAUU
Molecule: microRNA precursor, 98 nt
Filed under: Drosophila virilis
Lineage: Eukaryota; Metazoa; Arthropoda; Insecta; Diptera; Drosophilidae
Description: microRNA dvi-mir-9692 precursor
Source: miRBase by way of RNAcentral